RNAcentral lists this ribosomal RNA (123 nucleotides) under Lottia gigantea (owl limpet). Lineage: Eukaryota; Metazoa; Mollusca; Gastropoda; Lottiidae. The record is from RNAcentral.
GUCUACGGCCAUACCACGUUGAAAACACCAGUUCUCGUCUGAUCACUGAAGUUAAGCAACGUCGGGCUCGGUUUGUACUUGGAUGGGUGACCGCGUGUGGGCUAUUUAGACCAGUUCCUGGCC